GCCUUUCUGGCUCAGGUGGUAGAGCAUGUGAAUCUUGAUCUUAGGGUCUUGAGUUCAAGCCUCAUGUUGGGUG
Molecule: transfer RNA, 73 nt
Filed under: Ailuropoda melanoleuca (giant panda)
Lineage: Eukaryota; Metazoa; Chordata; Mammalia; Carnivora; Ursidae
Rfam family: tRNA
About the family: Transfer RNA (tRNA) molecules are approximately 80 nucleotides in length.
Source: Rfam by way of RNAcentral